GCUGGGCAUGGUGGUGUGUGCCUGUAGUCCCAGCUACUGGGAAGGCUGAGGCAGGAGAAUUGCUUGAACCCAGGAGGCAGAGGUUGCGGUGAGCCGAGAUCGUGCCAUUGCAUUCCAGUCUGGGUAACAACAGUGAAACUCCGUCUCAAAAAGAAAAAAUAAAUAAGAAAGAAAAGUUUGUAUUAAAUCAUUGCUAAAUUCUUUUUUUUUUUUUUGAGAUGGAGUUUUGCUCUUGUUACCCAGACUAGAGUGCAAUGGCGCGAUCUCAGCUCACCACAACCUCUGCCUCCUGGGUUCAAGCAAUUCUCCCGCCUCAG
This 317-nucleotide signal recognition particle RNA is filed under the name Callithrix jacchus (white-tufted-ear marmoset). Its description in RNAcentral is "Metazoan signal recognition particle RNA (ENSCJAG00000081791.1)". It matches the Rfam family "Metazoan signal recognition particle RNA". Rfam says of the family: The signal recognition particle (SRP) is a universally conserved ribonucleoprotein. It is involved in the co-translational targeting of proteins to membranes. The eukaryotic SRP consists of a 300-nucleotide 7S RNA and six proteins: SRPs 72, 68, 54, 19, 14, and 9. Lineage: Eukaryota; Metazoa; Chordata; Mammalia; Primates; Cebidae. The record is from RNAcentral.